AGCCUGCCCAGUGACAAAGUUCAACGGCCGCGGUACCCUAACCGUGCGAAGGUAGCAUAAUCACUUGUUCUUUAAAUGAGGACUCGUAUCAACGGCACUACGAGGGCUAUACUGUCUCCUUUUUCUAAUCAGUGAAACUGAUCUCCCCGUGAAGAAGCGGGGAUCAAAAUAUAAGACGAGAAGACCCCAUGGAGCUUUAAACUCACUAUACACCUCUGUGCCUUUAUGUCACUAGACACAAGAGAUCUGCGUACUAGUUUUAGGUUGGGGGGACCACGGAGUAUAAUUUAACCUCCAUAACAAAUGGGCUAACACCCUUAUCUAUGAGACACAACUCUAAGAACUACUAAACUAAUGCUUAUGACCCGAUAUUCGAUCAAUGAACCAAGUUACCCUGGGGAUAACAGCGCAAUCUACUUCAAGAGCCCAUAUCGACAAGUGGGUUUACGACCUCGAUGUUGGAUCAGGGUAUCCCGGUGGUGCAGCCGCUACCGACGGUUCGUUUGUUCAACGAUUAAAACCCUAC
RNAcentral lists this ribosomal RNA (526 nucleotides) under Rana graeca (Greek frog). RNAcentral's name for it is "partial large subunit ribosomal RNA". It matches the Rfam family "Bacterial large subunit ribosomal RNA", at positions 1856 to 2599 of the family's 2925-position model. The record is from RNAcentral. Lineage: Eukaryota; Metazoa; Chordata; Amphibia; Anura; Ranidae.